Molecule: ribosomal RNA, 399 nt
Filed under: uncultured bacterium
Lineage: Bacteria
Description: bacterial SSU rRNA
Rfam family: Bacterial small subunit ribosomal RNA
Source: RNAcentral
AAUCAACGCUGGCGACGUGCCUAACACAUGCAAGUCGAACGCGAAAGUCCCGCAAGGGAUGAGUAGAGUGGCAAACGGGUGAGUAACACGUGGGUGACCUGCCUUCGAGCGGGGGAUAACGUCCCGAAAGGGACGCUAAUACCGCAUGACAUCCUGCCUUUGAAGAGGUGGAGAUCAAAGCUGGGGAUCGCAAGACCUAGCACUUGAAGAGGGGCCCGCGUCUGAUUAGCUAGUUGGUGGGGUAACGGCUCACCAAGGCAACGAUCAGUAUCCGGCCUGAGAGGGCGGACGGACACACUGGGACUGAGACACGGCCCAGACUCCUACGGGAGGCAGCAGUGGGGAAUUGUUCGCAAUGGGCGCAAGCCUGACGACGCAACGCCGCGUGGAGGAUGAAGA